AUGAACGCUGGCGGCGUGCCUAAUACAUGCAAGUCGAGCGAACGGACGAGAAGCUUGCUUCUCUGAUGUUAGCGGCGGACGGGUGAGUAACACGUGGAUAACCUACCUAUAAGACUGGGAUAACUUCGGGAAACCGGAGCUAAUACCGGAUAAUAUUUUGAACCGCAUGGUUCAAAAGUGAAAGACGGUCUUGCUGUCACUUAUAGAUGGAUCCGCGCUGCAUUAGCUAGUUGGUAAGGUAACGGCUUACCAAGGCAACGAUGCAUAGCCGACCUGAGAGGGUGAUCGGCCACACUGGAACUGAGACACGGUCCAGACUCCUACGGGAGGCAGCAGUAGGGAAUCUUCCGCAAUGGGCGAAAGCCUGACGGAGCAACGCCGCGUGAGUGAUGAAGGUCUUCGGAUCGUAAAACUCUGUUAUUAGGGUAGAACAUAUGUGUAAGUAACUGUGCACAUCUUGACGGUACCUAAUCAGAAAGCCACGGCUAACUACGUG
This 496-nucleotide ribosomal RNA is filed under the name uncultured bacterium. RNAcentral describes it as "partial 16S ribosomal RNA". It matches the Rfam family "Bacterial small subunit ribosomal RNA", at positions 29 to 507 of the family's 1533-position model. The record is from RNAcentral.